RNAcentral lists this ribosomal RNA (492 nucleotides) under uncultured bacterium. RNAcentral describes it as "partial 16S ribosomal RNA". It matches the Rfam family "Bacterial small subunit ribosomal RNA", at positions 29 to 507 of the family's 1533-position model. The record is from RNAcentral.
AGUGAACGCUGGCGGUAGGCCUAACACAUGCAAGUCGAACGGCAGCACAGUAAGAGCUUGCUCUUACGGGUGGCGAGUGGCGGACGGGUGAGGAAUACAUCGGAAUCUACUUUUUCGUGGGGGAUAACGUAGGGAAACUUACGCUAAUACCGCAUACGACCUACGGGUGAAAGCAGGGGAUCUCCGGACCUUGCGCGAUUGUAUGAGCCGAUGUCGGAUUCGCUAGUUGGCGGGGUAAAGGCCCACCAAGGCGACGAUCCGUAGCUGGUCUGAGAGGAUGAUCAGCCACACUGGAACUGAGACACGGUCCAGACUCCUACGGGAGGCAGCAGUGGGGAAUAUUGCACGAUGGGCGCAAGCCUGAUCCAGCCAUACCGCGUGGGUGAAGAAGGCCUUCGGGUUGUAAAGCCCUUUUGUUGGGAAAGAAAAGCAGCAGGUUAAUACCCCGCUGUUCUGACGGUACCCAAAGAAUAAGCACCGGCUAACUUCGUG